GAUGAACGCUGGCGGCGUGCUUAACACAUGCAAGUCGAACGAUGAUGCCCACUUGUGGGUGGAUUAGUGGCGGACGGCUGAGUAACACGUGAGUAACCCGCCCUUGACUCUGGGAUAAGCCUGGGAAACUGGGUCUAAUACCGGAUAUGACCUUCCAUCGCAUGGUGGUUGGUGGAAAGCUUUUGUGGUUUUGGAUGGACUCGCGGCCUAUCAGCUUGUUGGUGGGGUAAUGGCCUACCAAGGCGACGACGGGUAGCCGGCCUGAGAGGGUGACCGGCCACACUGGGACUGAGACACGGCCCAGACUCCUACGGGAGGCAGCAGUGGGGAAUAUUGCACAAUGGGCGCAAGCCCGAUGCAGCGACGCCGCGUGAGGGAUGACGGCCUUCGGGUUGUAAACCUCUUUCAGUAGGGAAGAAGCGUAAGUGACGGUACCUGCAGAAGAAGCGCCGGCUAACUACGUGCCAGCAGCCGCGGUAAUACGUAGGGCGCAAGCGUUAUCCGGAAUUAUUGGGCGUAAAGAGCUCGUAGGCGGUUUGUCGCGUCUGCCGUGAAAGUCCGGGGCUCAACUCCGGAUCUGCGGUGGGUACGGGCAGACUAGAGUGAUGUAGGGGAGACUGGAAUUCCUGGUGUAGCGGUGAAAUGCGCAGAUAUCAGGAGGAACACCGAUGGCGAAGGCAGGUCUCUGGGCAUUAACUGACGCUGAGGAGCGAAAGCAUGGGGAGCGAACAGGAUUAGAUACCCUGGUAGUCCAUGCCGUAAACGUUGGGCACUAGGUGUGGGGGACAUUCCACGUUUUCCGCGCCGUAGCUAACGCAUUAAGUUGACCGCCUGGGGAGUACGGCCGCAAGGUUAA
Molecule: ribosomal RNA, 856 nt
Filed under: uncultured Actinomycetes bacterium
Lineage: Bacteria; Bacillati; Actinomycetota; Actinomycetes
Description: bacterial SSU rRNA
Rfam family: Bacterial small subunit ribosomal RNA
Source: RNAcentral